GGCCGCCCUGGUCAUCGUCCUGGACAUAAACAGCGGCCUAGAACAAUUGUAAAGCACAAACCGAACAAAAUACCGUCACAUUCAGUGAUAACACCAGACACAACCGCUAGACCACCUCCUGAGGACACUGAUCUAGGAACCACUGUAACACCAGUACCUGAGGCACCAACAGAGGUAGAAUCUGAGAUUGACCCUAAGCUGGACCAUGAGCUAGAACCUGAGGUUGACCCUGAGGUAACCUCUAAGAUUAACCCUGGGGUAAACU
Molecule: non-coding RNA, 265 nt
Organism: Spodoptera litura
Lineage: Eukaryota; Metazoa; Arthropoda; Insecta; Lepidoptera; Noctuidae
Source: RefSeq, a predicted model, not a curated record